UUCUUACACGGCUUUGCCACACAGUACUCUCAAUCUCUGCAGCCCAAAGUCCAGCAAACUGAUCUCCAAAUUGCUCAGACUCCAAGGGAAGCAAAAGCAAAAACAUGUGAGCCAGUACGCACAAGUGAGUCUGGAUCUGCAUUUUCCUUUGAAGGGGUACUACCCAAACAAGCACGUCUUUAUUGUCUUCAGAGGAGCCCGUGGCUGCCACGUCCCGUUCUGCUUCUCCCACGUCAGGCAGCAGCGAGCAUCGCUACAAGCAGGCUGCAGCCACGGUGCAGCCUCCGGAACCGGGAGACUCUCCACAACCCCAGCCCAGCGCCGGGGAGGAGAGCCGGCAGGCAGCAGGACACCAGCGGCCUGGGCAGACGCCCCACGCGGGACUCCCGCUAUCGCGGGCACAGGGCCCACAGGAGCGCCGAAGGCAGAGCAGACCCUGCUCGGGCAAAAGCACCCGGGUCUCGUUUACGGGAGCCUGCGCCUACCGGUCCCGUGGGUCGGCACGGGGCUGGGCAGGCCGCGGCACCCUGCACAGGACCACGACGGGGCGGCCGGCUCGGACCGGCUCGGCCUGCGGCGGGCACAGAGCGUGGUCUGCCCCGAGGCCGGCCGGUGCGCGGGGGGCGCCCCCCCCCCCCCUUUCCCCUCCCCUCGGGCCGGCCCCUCCCGCCGCGCGGGCUCCCCGCUCACCUGGGCGCGGAGCUUUCGCCAUCUCGGGGCUGCCCGCUCCCGGCCAAGCCGUCGCCGGCCGCGUCAGCUGCUCGCCCGCGGGGCCCUCCCGGCGCGCCGGCACCCCGCGCCCUGCCGCUCCAUCUGCUCCCGGCGGAGGUCCCGCACCGCCCACCCGCCUGCGGCGCCGAGAGACGCGACCGGGAGGCGCCGCCGUGCCGUGCCGUGCCGUGCCGUGCCGCCCCGUCCCCCCCCGCGCAGCCCACCCGCCGCGGCGCAGCCGCCGCCGUUAAAGGCGCAGCGAGCGGCUCGGGCGUGACCGGGCGCCGAGCCGGGCCGGCAGCCCCGCUGAUGCGGUUGCUCGCCGGCGGCCGGGAGGGCGAUGGGCGAGGCCCGAGCAGAGGCGCGGCCGCGGGGCUCCCCAAGCCCGCCCGCCCGCCCACAGGGCCCGCCCAGCCGCAGCCCAGAGCGGCCGCCGCUCGGAGCAGAAGCACUCGGUGCCCGCGGCCGGCCCGUCCUGCGGCUCUCCGCCGCCGCCUUUCCUUGCCGCCCUGUCCCCGGCCGCCCGGAGUUACCUCCGGUCUGCAGCCCGCUGCGGAGCGCCCGGGGGCUGGCCGGCGGCACGGGCCUCGGUCGCUGCGGCAGCACCGGCCGCACAAACAACUCCUGCAGGAGGCUGGUCCGGAUUUAACGGCAAAAAGCCCUUGGGGACUGCCAAGCCGUGUCAGUGCAGUGGCCAAACUGCCGCAGGGCCUUUCAGGUCCGCGGUAG
This 1440-nucleotide long non-coding RNA is filed under the name Anas platyrhynchos platyrhynchos (common mallard). RNAcentral describes it as "lncRNA (ENSAPLG00000022296.1)". Lineage: Eukaryota; Metazoa; Chordata; Aves; Anseriformes; Anatidae. The record is from RNAcentral.